AAUGAUUUAUGUCAAAGUAUUCUGCCUGUGUUUUCCUCUAGGAGUUUUAUGGUUUCUGGUUUUGCAUUUAGGUCUUUAAUCCAUUUUGAGUUUAUUUUUGCAGAUGAUGUUAGAGAAUUUCUAAUUACAUUCUUUUACAUGUAGCCAUUCAGUUUUCACAGCACCAUUUAUUGAAGAGACUGUCUUUUCUCCAUUGCAUAUUCUUGCCUCCUUGGUCAUAGAUUAAUUGACCACACACACAUGGGCUUACUUUNGAUUACUUAUCUUGGUUCUUUUCUUUGAAGCUGUUGGUUUUCCUCAAGGCUCUCUUGGUUGUCCAUUUGUAUUGAUGGAUGAAAGCCAAACUGAUUGACCUGUUUGUGUGUGCAUGGGGGAGUGUAUGGGGGAACCCGUGCACUUGUGUAGCCCUUUCCACCCCAAACUCCCCUUCCAGAACAGAAAUACCAAGUCCAUGGACAGGGGAGUUCAGCUGGUAGGCUCAAUUUGGGGGUGCACAGGCAGGAAACCAGUGUCUGUUCCCUUCCACCUACACAAAGACCAGAUAAGGAGGACUUUCCUCUGGGGUGGGGCACCAACAGCUACACCGGGACAUAACUCCCCCCAACUCUCCACUCAUUAUGCCCUUUCUUAGAGGACAGUUAUCCUGAUUUAGCAGGAAAAAUACUCGGAGUUGACACUGUGAGGGAACUGCCCAGUGAGGCUGCAAUUCUUCAGAGGUCUUUGUAGAACCAGCCUAAUCUCAGCCCCUCUUUCCACAGGUGUGGUUUGUGCCUAUGAAAUCUGAGCUUAAAGGUCUUUGGGAGCCAGGACAAGGACUCUGUUUCCAGGUCGUUUUCUCUUAUGCAUCUUCUGGGUUGUGGCUUACUCUGCUGUAGGUAAUGCAACAAUGCCAUCGCAUCCACUCCCCACCUUCCAGAAGUGUUAUCAAAAUCAGAUCUGCUGACAUGCCCUGGUGGCGCAGUGGUGAAGGUUCUGUCAUUGUCCCUGCUGUGGCUUGGGUUGCUGCUGUGGAGCGGGUUUGAUCCCUUGCUUGGGAACUUCCAUGUGCUGUGGAACCUGCCCCCCCACCCCCUGCCAAAAAAAUCUAAUCUGCUCCUGGCUCUCCCUGCUGUUUGCAGCUCUCCUGUGGAAUUAUCCCAUUUUCUACUCCCUUUUACAGUAGCCCCAGUGGAAUUUUGUGGGAAGGAGGGCAAAACCUAGAAAACCUGAAGCUGGAAGGUAUAUUUGUCCACUGGAUGAAAUACACAAGGUAGGUUUACCUUUGGCAAAAACCGAACCCCAAAUAUUUAUACAGUUAGACAAUAUGGAUAAUCGUAACUUCAUCUAAAAUGAAUUGCUUAGAUUUUUCCAUUGCUUGGGUAGAAGGAAUAGCAUGUCUGAAAAUAUAUUGGCUAGUUUAGAAAGGUCUCCAAGACAGAAUUUUAACCUGGCUUUCACUUCUCCAAAGAGGAUGUUAUUUUUCAUUUUCUUGGGGGGGGGUGUGUUUGUUUGUUUUUUUUUUUAAGGGCCCGCACCUGCGGCAUAUGGACAUUCCCAGGCUAGGGGUAGAAUCGGAGCUGCAGCUGCCGGCCUAGGCCUCAGCCAUAGCAACGCUGGAUCCCCAACCCACUAAUCGAGGCCAGGGAUUGAAUCUGCACUAGUUGGAAUCAUUUCUGCUCCCCCACCACGGGAACUCCUGAAAGAAUAUUAUUAAUCCACUAGGCAGAACUGGUUUCCCCUUCCUUCCUGUGUAUUGAUAUUACUGAUCAUUUUAUCAGCCUAGAAAGCUACAAGUGAGAUCGACAGCCUAAGCAGCACUGAGCAAAAGUCGCUUUUGAGGUGGUGAAGGGGUUAAUCCCUUGACCUUCUGAGUUGAAGAAAACUCAAGGGGCUGAACAAGGAUGCACAGAAAAUAAGAUGUGAGUCAUUGGUUCCAGGAACUUAAUGUUCUCGAUGAAGAACCAUCCGGAGCAGCCAGCUCUAAUGAAGCAUCUUUGAAUUAAUUGGAUACCUUCGUAACUCCAAAGGAGAAAUUAAAUAAAUGAAUUGUGUGAAGCCAAUUGAUUUGUAGUUCCCAUUUCUCUGGAAAGACUCAGCUCCAGAUUUAUUACUGCUUUUCUGAAGCCACUUGAUUUAGUGGUGAUGCUUUUGGGGCUUAGAUAACUGCUGUGAUGAUUGAGGCCUUGGAAGGUGUACAGAUCUGUUUUCCACAAUAGUUAUUUAUGUCUCCAGCCCCCAAGGCAGAAAUAUGUUGCCAAGAACGUUACUUAAAAUAAGAAACCAAAGGCAUUUUUCCCCCUGUAAAGUGGCACUUAAAGAGCAGCCACAAACUGCAACUGCUCAGCUUGCACUUUUGUGACAUUUUGGACCAGUGUCAUGAAAAGCGGUUCCUGGUACAGAUACAGGGACAGGCCCAGCUAGGGAACUUGGUUUUGAAAAUGCCAAAACAUUUACAUAUUCACUAGUUUGCAUUGCGUAAGAGUGUUAAAUGAAUGUGGUGUGACCUCUGUUUCCCACACUUUGAGGAAUUAAAAAACACCACUGUGUCAUUUUGAUUGGAUCAUGGGCUUCUUAUAGCUGGUUAUGUCUAGGUGUGUCUUUGAGGGUGUUUCCAGAAGAGAUUUCCCCUUUGAUGGGCUGAGCAAGCCAAAGUGCCUUCCCCAGUGGGGCCAGCAUCUGGUCUGUGGAGGCCCUGAACAGGGUAAAAUAGUGAGGGAAGGUUAAUUUAUUUUUUUAAUCCCCUCCAGCCACACCUGAAGCAUAUGGAAAUUCCCAGGCUAGGGGUCAAAUCAGAGCAGCUCCUGCUGGCCUUUACCAUAGCCACAGCCACACUGGAUCCGAGCUGCAUUUGUGACCUACAGCUCAUGGCAAUGCCAGAUCCUUAACCCACUGAGCGAGGCCAGGGAUGGAACCUGCAACCUCAUGGUUCCUAAUUGGAUUCAUUUCUGCUGUGCCAUGACGGGAAUUCCCAUUCUGUAUGUGAUAGUUUGCACCUGCUAACCCCAAACUACAUGGGAGCUAAUACCACAUAAUCAGUCAAUCAACAACCCUAUUGAUUGUGUUUCUCCGGAGAAACCCGGACGCAUACACCACCUAACUGUGGUUUCUAACACUACAGUUACAGAGCACUAACUCUCUGGUCAGUCCGCACACAUUUUACUUUGGAAUGAUGCUGAGGAGUGGUUGUCCAGACAGAUGAUUUACCAGCUCUCACUUCUGCCCAUUUCAGAAGCAGGCUGGUGAAGCAUGGUGGACAAGAAGGCGUGUCCCCUGAAGGAUGUGGUCACCCUCGGGUCAGAAGAAUGGGUGGGGCUGUGGAGGCCCGUGAGGGUGGUAAGAAUGUGACAAUGAUCUCCACCGUAAAACCAGAGGCCAGAACAAGGCUGUGGGUUUAAUUUGAUAGGGGAAUCACCUCUGGUGUGCAGCCAGCUUUGGAGAGAAGGGUGAAUGCUCACAGGUAACUGGGCAAAGUCUGCCUCCAGCUCAGAAGAGGGCUUGGGAGGGGGAGGGGGAGGGGAGCGGGACUGCCUCCCCCUCCCCACCCCAACACUUGGCUGUGAUUCUCCUAGAUUGUGAGAUUGUAUCUCAGACCCUAUCAGAAGUGACUCAAGUCCGUAAAACACAGGGGGUCAUGGGCCUUCUCUAGUCUUGUGCCUUCAUGGCCACUAACCACUGCCCUGCAGAGGUGCGCAGAGAGCCAGCCCUACCUGGAAGUAUUCCUGAAGUAUCUCCAAUGCCAGAGAGCUGCCUGCAGGGGACUGCCCUGGGGGGGCUGUCUGGAGGUUGGGGGGCCAUUCUCCUCCUGGGGGGCCUCUGCAGGCACCUUACCAGUGAGCAAGGAACCCAGCAUGAAAAACAGCAGGCACAGACAUUGCUCUG
This 3858-nucleotide long non-coding RNA is filed under the name Sus scrofa (pig). RNAcentral's name for it is "lncRNA (ENSSSCG00055012251.1)". Lineage: Eukaryota; Metazoa; Chordata; Mammalia; Artiodactyla; Suidae. The record is from RNAcentral.